GAUUUAUUUAAACGGCCGCGGUAUUCUAACCGUGCAAAGGUAGCGUAAUCACUUGUCUUCUAAAUAAAGACCAGUAUGAACGGCUAAAUGAGGACAAACCUGUCUCUUGCAACCAAUCAGUGAAACUGAUCUUCCGGUCCAAAAGCCGGAAUACUCCCAUAAGACGAGAAGACCCUGUGGAGCUUCAAACAAACUACUCUGUAGCACGCCAGCGCCACAGCCAGUAGUAAAUGUUUUGAGUUGGGGCGACUUCGGAAACAAAAAAAACUUCCGAGCACAGAACCACCAGUUCUUACCAAGACCAACAAGUCAAAGCUUAAGCACGACCCAGUAACACUGACCAACGAACCAAGUUACCCCAGGGAUAACAGCGCCAUCUUCUUCAAGAGUCCAUAUCGACAAGAAGGUUUACGACCUCGAUGUUGGAUCAGGACACCCUAAUGGUGCAGCCGC
RNAcentral lists this ribosomal RNA (453 nucleotides) under Plestiodon tetragrammus. Its description in RNAcentral is "partial 16S ribosomal RNA". It matches the Rfam family "Bacterial large subunit ribosomal RNA", at positions 1916 to 2562 of the family's 2925-position model. Lineage: Eukaryota; Metazoa; Chordata; Lepidosauria; Squamata; Scincidae. The record is from RNAcentral.